CUCGAUAAGAUCGGCGGCGAUGCGGGCCUGUUGCGUGCGCGUGGUAAAUGCGAGAGAAACAGAAAAAAAGAGACGACACAAGAUUAGAAUACAGAAAGACGAUCAGGACGAAGAGGGCAUUCAUCAUAAAAAACGCAAAGACGCUCUGGUCGCGUAGGUCCUUUAAAUCUUUGGCGACUCGUGCCUGAUUGGAGCAGCAUGGGGUAUAUUAAUUGGAAUAUAUGAAAAAUGCGCUUCCAGAGAGGAUUAAAUAAAGUUCCAACGUUUCGACAUGUUACCUUCUCCGCUUUGUCCUCGUCGAUCGGGUAGAGAUACUUCUCCAGC
Long non-coding RNA from Temnothorax curvispinosus, 324 nucleotides. RefSeq lists it as uncharacterized. NCBI's taxonomy places the organism in Eukaryota, Metazoa, Arthropoda, Insecta, Hymenoptera, Formicidae. The record is from RefSeq and is a predicted model, not a curated record. The transcript is spliced from 3 exons.